Molecule: unclassified non-coding RNA, 242 nt
Filed under: Hevea brasiliensis (rubber tree)
Lineage: Eukaryota; Viridiplantae; Streptophyta; Magnoliopsida; Malpighiales; Euphorbiaceae
Source: RNAcentral
GAAACACUGUAAAGAGGGAAACAGAGGCCGGAGUUGCUGAUCAGAAGUAUGGUGGUGGCGGCUACCCAGGCGGCGGUUACAACGGUGGCGGCUACCACAACGGUGGUGGAUAUCCAGGCGGAGGCUACAACGGGGGAGGUUACCACAAUGGCGGUGGAGGUUAUAACGGGGGAGGCUACCACAAUGGCGGUGGAUAUCCCGGAGGUGGUGGUGGCGGCCGCUGCUACAACGGUUGCUGCCGU